GGAAUUUUCCGCAAUGGGCGAAAGCCUGACGCAGCAACGCCGCGUGGGGGAUGAAGGCCUUCGGGUUGUAAACCCCUUUCAGGAGGGAAGAAAUGGACGGUACCUCCAAAAGAAGGACCGGCCAACUACGUGCCAGCAGCCGCGGUAAUACGUAGGGUCCGAGCGUUAUCCGGAAUCAUGGGGCGUAAAGAGCUCGUAGGCGGUUCAGCAAGUCGGCUGUGAAAGUCCGGGGCUCAACCCCGGAAUUGCAGUCGAUACUGCUGUGACUCGAGUCCGGUAGAGGAGAACGGAAUUCCCGGUGUAGCGGUGAAAUGCGCAGGUAUCGGGAGGAACACCAGUAGCGAAGGCGGUUCUCUGGGCCGGCACUGACGCUGAGGAGCGAAAGCGUGGGGAGCAA
This 397-nucleotide ribosomal RNA is filed under the name uncultured bacterium. Its description in RNAcentral is "bacterial SSU rRNA". It matches the Rfam family "Bacterial small subunit ribosomal RNA", at positions 358 to 771 of the family's 1533-position model. The record is from RNAcentral.